This 444-nucleotide ribosomal RNA is filed under the name uncultured bacterium. Its description in RNAcentral is "bacterial SSU rRNA". It matches the Rfam family "Bacterial small subunit ribosomal RNA", at positions 331 to 792 of the family's 1533-position model. The record is from RNAcentral.
CCAGACUCCUACGGGAGGCAGCAGUGGGGAAUAUUGCACAAUGGGGGAAACCCUGAUGCAGCGACGCCGCGUGAGUGAAGAAGUAUUUCGGUAUGUAAAGCUCUAUCAGCAGGGAAGAAAAUGACGGUACCUGACUAAGAAGCCCCGGCUGACUACGUGCCAGCAGCCGCGGUAAUACGUAGGGGGCAAGCGUUAUCCGGAUUUACUGGGUGUAAAGGGAGCGUAGACGGCAUGGCAAGUCAGAUGUGAAAGCCCGGGGCUCAACCCCGGGAUUGCAUUUGAAACUGUCAGGCUGGAGUACAGGAGAGGUAAGUGGAAUUCCUAGUGUAGCGGUGAAAUGCGUAGAUAUUAGGAGGAACACCAGUGGCGAAGGCGGCUUACUGGACUGUAACUGACGUUGAGGCUCGAAAGCGUGGGGAGCAAACAGGAUUAGAUACCCGAGUA